Homo sapiens (human) is the source of this 117-nucleotide non-coding RNA. It matches the Rfam family "Metazoan signal recognition particle RNA". Rfam says of the family: The signal recognition particle (SRP) is a universally conserved ribonucleoprotein. It is involved in the co-translational targeting of proteins to membranes. NCBI's taxonomy places the organism in Eukaryota, Metazoa, Chordata, Mammalia, Primates, Hominidae. The record is from Rfam.
GCCGGGCGUGGUGGCUCACGCCUGUAAUCCCAGCAUUUCGGGAGGCCGAGGCGGGUGGAUCACCUGAGGUCGGGAGUUCAAGACCAGCCUGACCAACAUGGAGAAAUCCCGUCUCUG